RNAcentral lists this non-coding RNA (200 nucleotides) under Triticum aestivum (bread wheat). Its description in RNAcentral is "Bacterial small subunit ribosomal RNA". It matches the Rfam family "Bacterial small subunit ribosomal RNA", at positions 1174 to 1374 of the family's 1533-position model. Lineage: Eukaryota; Viridiplantae; Streptophyta; Magnoliopsida; Poales; Poaceae. The record is from Rfam by way of RNAcentral.
CAUAAGCGACGAAAAAAAAUCUGAUUUUAUGCCCUGGGCGACACACGUGCUACAAUGGGCGGGACAAAGGGUCGCGAUCUCGCGAGGGUGAGCUAACUCCAAAAACCCGUCCUCAGUUCGGAUUGCAGGCUGCAACUCGCCUGCAUGAAGCAGGAAUCGCUAGUAAUCGCCGGUCAGCCAUACGGCGGUGAAUCCGUUCC